Molecule: long non-coding RNA, 657 nt
Filed under: Pan troglodytes (chimpanzee)
Lineage: Eukaryota; Metazoa; Chordata; Mammalia; Primates; Hominidae
Description: lincRNA
Source: RNAcentral
CCCUGGAGGGAAUCGACUGCCAGUUUAAGGAGUCAUUGUCCAGUUCAGACUCCAGAAUACGAAACGUAGAAACUGACAGGAAAUGACCAAGUAUAAAUUGCAACUUGUAGAGAAGAAUCAUCUUAAAUCCUGGCACUGCGUUCCAGGGGGAGUUUGAGCAAGGAAUGUUGCUAAAACGGCUAAAACCAGGAACUCAGAAUAUCGUUCUACAGUAGAACCUAAAAACUGUUUCCAACCCAUCACGACAUCACCCUAAAAAAUGAGUGAGCAGUCACUGAGGCUUCCCAAGUUUGAAAAUUCCACAAGACUGAGAGCAAGUGUUUUGUUGAAACUGAAGUCAAGAUGAAGUCAGCUGACUCUCAAACCUCAGGUGAAGUGACUCAGGGCCCACACCCCGGUUCUGAGGCAGGGACACAUUUUACUUGCAGUACCCUGCAGCUUUGGAUGAGGCUGCAACCCGGGUGAAUCCUGGCCCUGCUAUCACGUGGGCAGCCACUGCAUCCUCCGGAGGCUGUGGAUGGGAGUCACCAUGCUGGGAGGUCUGGAGUAAGAUCUGUGCCAUCUGCCUUGCCCAAUCCUGUACCAGGGCCUGUGUUUCAAAAUCUCAAAAUAAAAGUGAUUAUUCUUGCAACACAUCUAGGUGUACUAAACGAAUAC